Molecule: ribosomal RNA, 486 nt
Filed under: uncultured soil bacterium
Lineage: Bacteria
Description: bacterial SSU rRNA
Rfam family: Bacterial small subunit ribosomal RNA
Source: RNAcentral
AGGACGAACGCUGGCGGUGCGCCUAACACAUGCAAGUCGAACGGUGAACCGGGCUUCGGCCCGGGGAUCAGUGGCGAACGGGUGCGUAACACGUGGGCAACCUGCCCCCGACCCUGGGAUAACCCCGGGAAACCGGAGCUAAUACCGGAUACUCUCCUCCGACCACAUGGUCGGCUGAGGAAAGGUCCGCCGGUCGGGGAUGGGCCCGCGGCCUAUCAGCUUGUGGUGGGGUAACGCCUACCAAGGCGACGACGGGUAGCUGGUCUGAGAGGACGACCAGCCACACUGGGACUGAGACACGGCCCAGACUCCUACGGGAGGCAGCAGUGGGGAAUCUUGCGCAAUGGGCGAAAGCCUGACGCAGCGACACCGCGUGGGGGAUGAAGGCCUUUCAGGUCGUAAACCCCUUUCGGCAGGGACGAAGCGAAUCUCGUGACGGUACCUGCAGAAGAAGCCUCGGACUAACUACGUGCCAGCAGCCGCGGU